RNAcentral lists this ribosomal RNA (497 nucleotides) under uncultured bacterium. Its description in RNAcentral is "partial 16S ribosomal RNA". It matches the Rfam family "Bacterial small subunit ribosomal RNA", at positions 28 to 507 of the family's 1533-position model. The record is from RNAcentral.
GAUGAACGCUGGCGGCGUGCCUAAUACAUGCAAGUCGAGCGAACAGACGAGGAGCUUGCCCCUCUGACGUUAGCGGCGGACGGGUGAGUAACACGUGGAUAACCUACCUAUAAGACUGGGAUAACUUCGGGAAACCGGAGCUAAUACCGGAUAAUAUAUUGAACCGCAUGGUUCAAUAGUGAAAGACGGUUUUGCUGUCACUUAUAGAUGGAUCCGCGCCGCAUUAGCCAGUUGGUAAGGUAACGGCUUACCAAGGCAACGAUGCGUAGCCGACCUGAGAGGGUGAUCGGCCACACUGGAACUGAGACACGGUCCAGACUCCUACGGGAGGCAGCAGUAGGGAAUCUUCCGCAAUGGGCGAAAGCCUGACGGAGCAACGCCGCGUGAGUGAUGAAGGUCUUCGGAUCGUAAAACUCUGUUAUUAGGGAAGAACAAAUGUGUAAGUAACUAUGCACGUCUUGACGGUACCUAAUCAGAAAGCCACGGCUAACUACGUG